Triticum urartu is the source of this 126-nucleotide non-coding RNA. The record is from Rfam. NCBI's taxonomy places the organism in Eukaryota, Viridiplantae, Streptophyta, Magnoliopsida, Poales, Poaceae.
AUGCUACUCCUUCCGUCCGAAAUUUUUUGUCCCAAACUUGUUUCUCAAAUGAAUGUAUCUAGCACUAACUUGGUGCUAGAUACAUCCAUUUGAGGGACAAGUUUUUCCGGACGGAGGGAGUACGAU